UGGCGGCAAUAGCGCGGUGGUCCCACCUGACCCCAUGCCGAACUCAGAAGUGAAACGCCGUAGCGCCGAUGGUAGUGUGGGGCCUCCCCAUGCGAGAGUAGGACACUGCCAGGCA
This 115-nucleotide ribosomal RNA is filed under the name Serratia marcescens. The record is from RNAcentral. RNAcentral also lists the same sequence under 1 other name. Lineage: Bacteria; Pseudomonadati; Pseudomonadota; Gammaproteobacteria; Enterobacterales; Yersiniaceae.